Molecule: long non-coding RNA, 2486 nt
Organism: Megalopta genalis
Lineage: Eukaryota; Metazoa; Arthropoda; Insecta; Hymenoptera; Halictidae
Source: RefSeq, a predicted model, not a curated record
AAGUAAACAUGCAAGCGUGUACCAUCGAUGGUACACGUGGCACGGAACGUGUUAAUAAAUUGUUAACGAAAAUUACAGCCCUUGCAGCCGCUGCGUGUCGAGCUGGCGCUCUAAUCGGCCUGUAUUUUUCAUUAAUAAUUUAUGAACAUUGCCGCAAUCUUACAAAUCGCCUCGGAAAAAUCGCUCCUUUUCACAGCUUCUCCGAGAAACUUUUUCAAGACACUUUUUAGACAGCCUGUACAUAUUCGCGCGCUUGCUCGUCCCUUGUUGCAAAAAACAUUCGUCGGUCAAUUCGCACAGGAAUUUCCGGUUACUCGUGCUGCUGAAAAUUUCCAUUGUUUUGAAUAGGAAAAUGCUAGUGGUGCUUUAACAAGUGAAUUUUCUUUGAACAGUUUCAAACCUAGGCGAUUAACAUGAAUCAAAGGAUAAUAGUAGAGCCUCGGAAAGUGAUGAACGCUUCUCUGAAUUCUUUCAUUCUUCGUUAAUGUAACAAAUAUAGCACCCGAAGAAUUUAUCAAAUAGAGGAGAUACUAAUUUUUAUAAAAAUUGAACACAUAUCACUUCGUAUAUCUCUAUGCGAGAAGGCCAUCGACGCUGUUGUGCAUAUUUUCAUUGAAUAAAAAUAUUGUUUUCAAGAGCCUUUGUUUUAUUUGAAACCUAUAAAAAUCGUGAAUUCAGUUUAUGCUACUUCUUCAUGUAUCACACUAUAUCGUGUCACGUACAUAUGUUACAUAAUAUUAUACUGUACUACAACAUAAGAUACUUUUUUAGCUAUUCCUUCUCGUUUCUUUUGGCUUUUCAGUGUCCUUUAGGAUUAUUUCUUCUCAAUCAACUUCAUCACUUACUCAUUUAAGAAUGCUCCUUUUAAUGCAUGCAUUAUGUUUUAACUGUUACCUUCUGUUUUUCUUCAGUUUCAUGCGUAUUCAUCUCACUCUGUUCAUGGCCAGACCAAAUAUUCGAUAUUUACAUUAUAACACAAUAUACUGUUGUAGACAAAUGUAAAUUGUUUAUUCGCAUCUACAGUAAUACUAUGUCGAGAUAAAACAGUUUCACAGACUGAUUUUUGUUCAGACGUAAGAAGAAAAUAUAAUACAAUACAGUACAAUACAAUACAAUAAACAUUUACGUAUACAGGAUGAAUUAUACAACUUUUAAAUCAUGCAUCUAAUCGAAAAGUGUUAAAUAUAAAAGUUGUACAGUUUUAAGGGAAGGAGGCGAUGUCGUAGCCAUUUUUAUUGUACAUAGUGUAGUUCUCGAAAUUUCAAGGUCUACGUCGUUCUUUUAAAUAGAAAGGAAUAUUUUUAACAUCGUAGAUCGACAGAACGUUAAAUUCUGAAUAGAAAUAUAUAAAUCUAUGUUGAUCCUAAAUUUAACGGUUAACGAGAUAUUAACGAUUCCUCUGACGAUGCCACGCGGCUUACAUACGCUUACCUUAAAAUCUCGUUUAGGCUUAGGAUCAGCAUAGGUUUAUACUUUUCUACUUAAAAUGAAAUAUUCUUUGAAUCUACCUCUCUUUCUAUUUAGAAAAGAGAAUGUCGACCUUAAAAAUUCGAGAAUUGCAUUAUGUUCAAAAACGUGAAUGCGACAUCACUACAACUUUUAUAUUUAACAAUUUUUAAUUAAAUGUAUCAUUUAGAAGUUAUUUGGGAUGUGCAAGUUAUAUUAUUGACCCUGUAUCUUUACAUAAUUUUUGCAAUUUACCAAGGAAGAGAGAUGUAAUCUAUAUUUCUUUUGCAGAAUUUACUUAUAGCAGUAACUAUGGCUCGCAUGAUAUCGAAAGAAAACGUGAAAGAAAGAUGGCUAAUAUUAUUUUGAAUAUGCUUGAUUAAAAAGAAAAUGAACAAUUUAGUUUAAUUUUAAAGAAUGACGGUAACCCACUUUGAUUAUGAAAAUCCUAUAUAUAUAUAGAAAAUAUUUAUAACAUUAUAGAGAGCCAAAUACCGUUCCUUGCCGACAGCUUUUAAAUUUAAUAAUGAAAAUCGUACAGUCCACAAUGGAGGAAGCAGUUUCAAUUCACAGUUAUCCGACUGUUCAACAUCCAGUCAUCGUUAAACAUUAUCACAGAAGACGACAAACCAUUAUCAACUGUGCAAUAAAACGUUAUAAGAAGCUAGAUGCCCAGUGUAGCUGAUCCGAUAGAACGAAAAUAAACAGGAUCUUGAUAAGAACUGCCUGAAAUAGAGCUGCUUAAGCAUGCAAUCGAUUCGCGCAAGCUAUUAUUAGUAACGCUCGUUAAAUCUUGUUCUAAAUGUUCGGGCAAACGAACAGCAUUUUUAUUGGUUCUUCCAAUUUUCAGGUGUACCCGUUAUUAGCAGAGUCGUGCAGCUGAAACUGAAUGCAGGACUACCGGAUGGUCCUGAUCGACGCUUAAUAAUUAUAUAUUUCAACAAAACCGUCUGCAAGUGUCUCAAACAAAAACGUUAACUAUUGGGUUGGCAACUAAGUAAUUGUCGAUUUCAGUUGUAGAUGUCUCUCACUCCCAUUUU